This 646-nucleotide ribosomal RNA is filed under the name Lactobacillaceae bacterium. Its description in RNAcentral is "bacterial SSU rRNA". It matches the Rfam family "Bacterial small subunit ribosomal RNA", at positions 61 to 679 of the family's 1533-position model. Lineage: Bacteria; Bacillati; Bacillota; Bacilli; Lactobacillales; Lactobacillaceae. The record is from RNAcentral.
GCCUAGAUGAUUUUAGUGCUUGCACUAAAUGAAACUAGAUACAAGCGAGCGGCGGACGGGUGAGUAACACGUGGGUAACCUGCCCAAGAGACUGGGAUAACACCUGGAAACAGAUGCUAAUACCGGAUAACAACACUAGACGCAUGUCUAGAGUUUGAAAGAUGGUUCUGCUAUCACUCUUGGAUGGACCUGCGGUGCAUUAGCUAGUUGGUAAGGUAACGGCUUACCAAGGCAAUGAUGCAUAGCCGAGUUGAGAGACUGAUCGGCCACAUUGGGACUGAGACACGGCCCAAACUCCUACGGGAGGCAGCAGUAGGGAAUCUUCCACAAUGGACGAAAGUCUGAUGGAGCAACGCCGCGUGAGUGAAGAAGGGUUUCGGCUCGUAAAGCUCUGUUGGUAGUGAAGAAAGAUAGAGGUAGUAACUGGCCUUUAUUUGACGGUAAUUACUUAGAAAGUCACGGCUAACUACGUGCCAGCAGCCGCGGUAAUACGUAGGUGGCAAGCGUUGUCCGGAUUUAUUGGGCGUAAAGCGAGUGCAGGCGGUUCAAUAAGUCUGAUGUGAAAGCCUUCGGCUCAACCGGAGAAUUGCAUCAGAAACUGUUGAACUUGAGUGCAGAAGAGGAGAGUGGAACUCCAUGUGGUAGC